UACGGGGGGGGCAAGCGUUGUUCGGAAUUACUGGGCGUAAAGGGCUCGUAGGUGGCCAACUAAGUCAGACGUGAAAUCCCUCGGCUUAACCGGGGAACUGCGUCUGAUACUGGAUGGCUUGAGUUCGGGAGAGGGAUGCGGAAUUCCAGGUGUAGCGGUGAAAUGCGUAGAUAUCUGGAGGAACACCGGUGGCGAAGGCGGCAUCCUGGACCGACACUGACGCUGAGGAGCGAAAGCGUGGGGAGCGAUCCGG
RNAcentral lists this ribosomal RNA (253 nucleotides) under uncultured bacterium. Its description in RNAcentral is "partial 16S ribosomal RNA". It matches the Rfam family "Bacterial small subunit ribosomal RNA", at positions 524 to 776 of the family's 1533-position model. The record is from RNAcentral.